Solanum tuberosum (potato) is the source of this 502-nucleotide long non-coding RNA. RefSeq lists it as uncharacterized. The transcript has 2 exons. NCBI's taxonomy places the organism in Eukaryota, Viridiplantae, Streptophyta, Magnoliopsida, Solanales, Solanaceae. The record is from RefSeq and is a predicted model, not a curated record.
UAAAUAGUUAGAGAAUAGAGAGAAAGUUCUAAAAAGAUGCCAAAAAUUUUAAAAAAUUGGAGAUUUUUAUGUGUUUUUACCGUUGUAGCUUUAUGAAGUGGCAAAAAUUUACUUCCUCACGCGCCUGCUAGAGUUUGUUGUCAAUUUCUACGCCAGACGGACAAUAAAGGUGUACGCGAUGGAGGAAUAAACAAGUUCAGAAUAAUUAAAAUGGAAUAUAGUUUAGAUAUACACUGAAUAUAAAGCUUCAAAUUCAGGGGUAAUGAACACUUUUACCUUUUUAAAAUAAACACUUUUGACCUUGAAAACUUUCCCAAACAGAUUAUAAAGAAAAUUGUAAGUACUUGAAAUACUGUACUAGUUGGUAAAAGUCAUUAAUAUUUAUCCGUUAAACCAAAGUUGAAAUAAUAAAUUGAGGACAUUUUUGCCUCUCGUUUACAUUUUUCUUGUGUGGGAUACUCAGGUCCUGAUCUUGGCCUUGCAUAAUACUCCCUUCAACGGU